CGUCAAGGUCAUCGAUCAUCGGAACUAGGAAGUCCUUGCCGAUUCCGACGACGCUGACUCCGACGCGAGCCCUCGGACUCCGCGUUCGUCGAAGUCGACCGAGCCACUCUCUACGACACACAUCUUGGUUCGGCACUCUCCCUUUUCACGCCCCUCUGAACUUGGCCUUUAGAUGCGUUCGUCUAUGGCGUUUUUUGACGAUCGGCAGUGGUUCUUGAGAUGCUGGUUCUUUUUCUUUCUACUUCUUGACUUAGCGAUAGGUUUCGGUUCCUUUUCUUUAUUCUUCUUGAUUCUGCAAGAGGUUGUUCUGCUUGAUAUGUUGAUAUGUUGGUUCUUUUUCAUAGUGCUUCUUGGUAAUAGAUGCUGGUUCUUUUUCGAUUCGCAUGUUAUGACAGUCUUUAGUUUGUAUUCCGAUUGAUUUUUUUUUUUUUAUUUAGUGCCUAUAUCGAUGUUGGUUGAUUAGUUGCAAGCCUUUAUGACACUCAUCUUUAGCUGCAUUCCUCUGUGGCGUUCUUUCUCUGUUCGGUCGGAAGUGGUUCUUGAUAUCUUAGUUCUUUUCUUUGUAUUUAAUGGCUUUGUGAUAGGUUGUGGUUUCUGUUUUUAUGCUUCUUGAUCUUCCGUCGGUAUGGUUCUUCGAUUCGAGUUUUGGCCGAUCCGUGGAUUUGUUCGGUUCCUCCUUAGUUUCUCCCGAUCUUUGUGGAUACUUGUAGCAUACUUGCUGUCUUGUCUAAAUUCAUGACCAACGAUAGGUGGAAUAUAGAUAAGUUGUACUCCUCUUUCUCUUGCUUCUGCUCGAUUCUGCAACAGGUUGUUCUGCUUUAUAUGUUGGUUCUUUUUCUUUACGCUUCUUGAUCUCCAGAUUUUUAGUUUAUAUUCCGAUUGAUUCUUUUUCGAAUGCCUAUACCAAUGUUGGUUGAUUGUCUGCUAGUGUGAUAAUCCAGGAUGUAGUUUAUACGAGUUCGUAAUCUGAGUUACUUCCUACGACGCGUCAGAUAAGAAACUUUUGGUUGAUUAGCUGCUAGUGUGAUAAUUCGGGAUGUGAUUUGAAUCGGAUCGAGAAAUAUGGAAAAUAUAGUUAGGCUUUAACCCAAAUCAAUCCGAUUGGAUGGUUUGGUCUGUGCGUACUUGGCAUCAUUGCACCCGAAUCACUUUAGUGCUUGGUGUUUAAAUUGAUGGGUAUUGAUAAGGGUAAAAAUGACGAUGUGACACGCCAUAACGUCAGCCGACAACACACUGCCCGAGGAAGUCGGCAUUAACACCUAACUCAGGCUUGGUUCUUCACGCCAUGCCAACCCCAUGUCAUACGCUAUCAGCCUGCCUCCUGCAAGCAGCCACAUCAGGUAACAUCAAACUCAUCUAUAAAUACCCCAGAGUUCUUAACGAACGGGGAGAGGAACACAAGCACAACGCACUUGGAGGCAUCUCGUCCUCCAAAACCCUCUCCACAUCGCAAACUUGAUCGUCGGAGGGGUCGGGCCGAGCUCCCGGCCCGACCUGUGUGCAGGUGCGAGACGGUGUUGCCUCUUCUCGACGCUGUGGCGGAGCUUCCUCCCGACCCGACCUCCCGACCCGAACCACCGUGCUCAGCCGCCGAGAGACCCCGAGCGACGUCGCUCGAGAUCCCCGACAUCCGGACCCCCGAAUCGAGUCGCGACGAUCCCGAGGCCACGGCUUAAAUAGAUGCCCCCCGCAUCAGGUAUAUAAAGCGGAAUAAUCUUUGUAUAUGAACAAAUACUAACAGGCCAAAGCAAAAUUAAAUGAAAUCACAAUUAAAUAGAACACCAAGAUAUACGUGAAAAAACUCAAAAUCACAUGAUAAACUAGAGAUAAUCCACUAUGAAAAUAAUGAAUAUACAAAUCUCAAUCUCUUGUGCAAAACUAACCAAUAAUCAUAAGAGAAUAACUAGGAUAUAAGGAUUACGUCACUGGCCACAAUAUCAAAAAUACAGUCACCUGUAUCCCAAAACGCGGUCACCACACCCUCCUUAUAUUAAUCUUGGUUAUGUUAAGAGAUUUAAGAAAUUUCCAUUGAGGAGUUCUCCGGAGUCUGUUUAGUUAGUACAUGGGACUCUGCUCCUCUUUAUAGAUGUAGUGGUAAUAGUAGCUGUAUUGGCUGCGAUCAUCGAGAGCGAGUGGACGGUAGGAGUUCGGGCUUGAGGCGACGGGAGCCAUGGAAUCGCGGACCAUGGCCACUUUUCGAGAAUGACUGCGCCGGAAGCGGAUUCCCCCCUCCACAACGAUCACUACACAACUACUUCAUCCCCCUCUGACUCCAGCGAUGACGUCCCCGAGUCCUCGGUCACGCGUUCACCGACCCACGCUCUACCACCUUAUCUUGGUUCGGCUCUCUCCCUUUUUAUGCCCAUUUGAGAUUGGUCUUAGUUUUUGUUCCUCGUGGCGUUUUUUCGCUGUUUGAAAUUGUGGUUCUUUAAUCUUUUUAGUUCUUGGUUUUGCGACAGGUUUUGGUUCCUUUACUUCUGGCGAUAGGUCUUGAAUAUUUUUCUUUGUGCAUCUCGAUUUUUCAAAGUUGGCUUGAUUAUUCAUAUUGAUGCUUUGUCUUUAUCCUCCUUGAUUUUGUAUUAAGCUAUUAUGAUUGCUUGAUACGUUCGUUUCAUGCUUUUUGAGAUGCUGGAUGCUGCUUCUUUUUCCUUUUCUUAGUACUUGAACUUUCAUAGAUGGUUCGAUUAAUGUCGAUGCUUUUGCCCUCAUAGGAUUUUGCCCUUCUAGGCUUGCUACAGAUUGACGUAAAAAACAAAGAAGUAGCACAGGCAUUACAAGUCACGCGGGUGAUCACAUAUUUGGGCACAUCCCUUCCUGUCAAUAUAUCGGAGAAGUGAGUGGAUGAUAGAGCAUUCUAUGGUAUAGCAGUUAAGUCUCGAUUGACUCCCGUUGUGAAGGAACAUAUACUUGACUGGUUGUGGGAAAAAAAAAACAUAUACAGAACUGAUAACAUU
RNAcentral lists this long non-coding RNA (2954 nucleotides) under Musa acuminata (dwarf banana). RNAcentral's name for it is "long non-coding RNA (MACU_LNC006778)". The record is from RNAcentral. Lineage: Eukaryota; Viridiplantae; Streptophyta; Magnoliopsida; Zingiberales; Musaceae.